GACUCAGAUUCUCCCCAGACGCCAAGGUUGCGGGUCAUGGAGUCCCGAACCCUCCUCCUGCUGUUCUCGGGAGCCGUGGCCCUGAUCCAGACCUGGGCAGAUUACAAUUACAAUCAAGGCAGAAAUGAUCUCAUUUUUACAUUACAACUCUGGAAAAGGCAAUAGACUGAGAUGCAAGUGUGCCCCCAAGUGAUGGGCAGAAGGAGAGAAGGUGUUUUGGAUGCAUUCUAGAACACAGGUAAUCUAAGGAGAGUUGAUCAAGGCCGUGGAAGAGUCCUCCAGCCACUAUUGGCCAUCAAAGGAGUCCUCUGUGUCCCAGGAAUGGUCCUGCUUUGGUGUCCCUGGUGUGACCCAUCACCCGCUGGGAACAGCCUGAGAGAAGUAGGGCCUCUGCACCAAUGCUGCUGAGGAUGUCAGAGCACAGGAACGAGGCCUUGGGAAAUUACCUGGAAAUGCGACUGAAAUCUUCCUUCCUGAGGGGUCUGGGCUCUUGGAAAUCAAACCCUCUCAGGUUGGGUGGCUGGACGAUUCUCCUCACACUUACAAUGGGACAAGGGGAACCAGGAGGCCCCCAAGGGGAUCCCUGGGUUCCACACGAACUCCUCCUACCCUCAUUGUGUGACAGCAGCCAUGCCUCCUCCUGGGGAUCAGGAUCUAUUACCUGUGCCUGGAGAGGAGGGGACUCCUCUUCUCACCCGCUGGUCUCUGGACACAUACUGUCCAAUUCCCCUGUGGCAGCUGUAAUGUGUAGUUCAAUGGGCACUCAUUUGUCCCCUUUUAAGGGUACCCUCCUUUAGAAUCCAGGACCUUCUACCCUGCAGAGUGUGGUUUUGGGAGAGAAGUGCAAAAUCCCACGACAGGUGAGUUGAAGGAAUGGGAUAUGGAGCCACAUCCACUUCCACCCCUUGGUAUCUGGACCCACGUGUUCUUCCUACUGAGAUUACAGAACUGUAGAGAUGUCUUUGAUUUUUAAAAUGCACCAUGUCCUGAAAGAUGGCACCCUCCCACCCGCAGAGUGCUUCCUGCAAGCUGGCGUUGAGCUGUGCCUAUAGAAGCUCUUUUCAACAUUCUUUAUGGCCAGCAGCCCUUGGUUGGUGCAGAUGGUGAUAGGACCAGUGGGUCCCACAGCAUGGCCACACUGCACCUCCUUCGCUGUCAAGUGGGUCCCCCACGAAGAUACUGCACGGAGAGCAGUGCCAAGCCUGUGGAUCAGGAAUAUCAACAGCCCCCAGAGAGUGGUGCUGGCUGAGGGUCUGAGAGCAGGACAGGAAAACCCACCUAUGGAAUAGGUGCCUAUCCCUGUGAAGAUGAACCUCUGGCCCUUCCAGGAUGGAAGGAGUGCAAUGUAGUCAACUCCUCACUUAGGGUCUGGUUGGUCACCUAAAGAAAUAGAGCCCUACCAGGGAAGAUCAUUGGGUUCAAAUGCUGAUGAGUAGGACAUUUAGAGGUGGCAGUGUCUGGAUCUACCUUGGUAGGAGGGAGUCAGUACUGUUGGACCCAUAGGUAGCCUCAUCCCUGCCACUGUGUUUGCUCCAUUUAUGUACCCAUCCUACCCGGCCUGGGCUGACCCAUGGGGAAGGCUGGCUAAUUUCAGUGCUUCUGCUUGGUUGUUCAGGGCCAUUUCAGGUUUGGGUGUUUUCUGGGGAUGUUAACAUGGGAUUCAGGCUCAACUCACAAGAAACUUUUCCAUCUCAUGAUGGAUGCUGUUGGGCAUGUCCAAUGUAUGACUUCAUGAGUUACACAGAUGCUAAUUCGUAGGGGCACUUGGAAUCACAUGGUUGUUUUGUGUCCCAUGGUCAAGCAUUCUAUCUUAUCAGGGCCUACAGUAACAUGCCAAAAGUUGCUUCCAACAUAUUUCUCUGCUUUGGAUGGGGCAUAUUUCUGUGCUGUGGAUGACAUGGCCUUACUCCAGAAUCCCAGGCCCUCCACUGUGACUCUCCUACUGGUGCUUGGUUCAGCUCCACCCCAAAUCUUACCCCACCACUGGCACUUUCAGCACCAGGGGGUCUGAAGGAUGGUGACUGCGCCAUGGCCUGGAUCUGCUGCAGUGUCCUUUCCUGUGGAGGCUCCACUCAAAGCUGGCAUCCUCCUAUGUCACCUAGAGUGUGGGUCAAAGCAAUACACCUACAUGUAGAAUGUGAUGUCAGAACUCAAACAGGCUCACCAGGCAGUGUGCUUCCUUCCUUGCAUGAGGAUGCAAGAUGCAACAGUUUGUCUUUCACAUUGGAAGGGACACCCCUGGAUGCCCCUAACCACUAGACCUGUAAAACUUCACUGCAGUGGCCACUUCUGAAUCUCUGUAAGGUUUAUUUAUCUUCACCCUCUGGAGAGAAGAUGUUUUACCAAAGCCUCUAGUGUACCUUCCUCCUCUUACUCAUCCAUCCCAGUCAACAUGAUGUUGUCAAUGAAAUAAAGGAAUUUAAUAUUCUAUAGUAUAUCCAGGUUCUCCAGAUCUCUUAAGACUGUACUAUAGAGGCCUGGGGAAUUAUAAUAGCCCUGAGGCAAACUAUGAAUUAAAGUGUUGUGGAUCCCACAUGAAAAAAAAAA
This 2547-nucleotide long non-coding RNA is filed under the name Homo sapiens (human). RNAcentral describes it as "HLA complex P5 (HCP5)". The record is from RNAcentral. Lineage: Eukaryota; Metazoa; Chordata; Mammalia; Primates; Hominidae.